Molecule: long non-coding RNA, 675 nt
Filed under: Lupinus mutabilis
Lineage: Eukaryota; Viridiplantae; Streptophyta; Magnoliopsida; Fabales; Fabaceae
Description: partial ncRNA
Source: RNAcentral
CAACAAGCAGUUUUGGAGGCCAACCAAGUACUCGCUACAUGAUAUCAUCAACACAGUGUUGUAUGAAGUUGUUCUUUUCUUAUGGAAACAGUAGUUUUUAAUUUUAGCAUCAAUUAUUUGCUUGGCUUUUUUCAUACCUAAUACUUCCUCGGGAAUGAUUUUUCCACCAUCAUUUAUCUCUUGAUGCUCAGCAGAGGGUAACUCCGGACUCUCCUCUACUUCUUUGACAACAUGACUUUCUUUUUCAAUGUUCACCAAUUCUUCGGACUCUACAUGUUUGGUAAUCACACCUUCACUUUUUUGUGCUUCUGAUUUCUGGUCAGUAUAUUCUACACUUUCUGCACUAACCUUGCUCAUUGUUUCGGGUAGAUUGAUCGCCUAAUUUAACAAAUGCAAAACAAGUGAUUAACUGUUUGUUUAAAUAGAUACAUAAGCAUGUGUGUAAAACAACACGAUGCUGCCUAGGUGCAUAAUUUGUUGUAUAGUGCAUUUCUGCCUGACCUCAUGGACUUGAGUUGCUUGAUCUUUGUCAUUUUCUUUUGUGCUGCUCUUUCCAUCAUCUAUAGGUGUUGGUUCCUCUUCCUCAUGUGUUAGUUCCUGAAUAGUUUUCUCAACUAUUCCACUUUGGACAACUGCCAGUGUGGCCGUGGCCUCUAUUGAUGGAGCAUCUUCCUC